AUUGAGCGCUGGCGGCAGGCCUAACACAUGCAAGUCGAACGGCAACAGGAAACAGCUUGCUGUUUCGCUGACGAGUGGCGGACGGGUGAGUAAUGUCUGGGAAACUGCCUGAUGGAGGGGGAUAACUACUGGAAACGGUAGCUAAUACCGCAUAACGUCGCAAGACCAAAGAGGGGGACCUUCGGGCCUCUUGCCAUCGGAUGUGCCCAGAUGGGAUUAGCUAGUAGGUGGGGUAACGGCUCACCUAGGCGACGAUCCCUAGCUGGUCUGAGAGGAUGACCAGCCACACUGGAACUGAGACACGGUCCAGACUCCUACGGGAGGCAGCAGUGGGGAAUAUUGCACAAUGGGCGCAAGCCUGAUGCAGCCAUGCCGCGUGUAUGAAGAAGGCCUUCGGGUUGUAAAGUACUUUCAGCGGGGAGGAAGGGAGUAAAGUUAAUACCUUUGCUCAUUGACGUUACCCGCAGAAGAAGCACCGGCUAACUCCGUG
Molecule: ribosomal RNA, 490 nt
Filed under: uncultured bacterium
Lineage: Bacteria
Description: partial 16S ribosomal RNA
Rfam family: Bacterial small subunit ribosomal RNA
Source: RNAcentral